RNAcentral lists this ribosomal RNA (332 nucleotides) under uncultured bacterium. RNAcentral's name for it is "bacterial SSU rRNA". It matches the Rfam family "Bacterial small subunit ribosomal RNA", at positions 568 to 898 of the family's 1533-position model. The record is from RNAcentral.
CGUGUAGGCGGAUGCGUAAGUCCGGUGUAAAAGCCCCCGGCUCAACCGGGGAAAGCCAUCGGAUACUGUGUGUCUCGAGUGCGGGAAGGGAGAGUGGAACUCUUGGUGGAGCGGUGAAAUGCGUAGAUAUCAAGAGGAACGCCGGUGGCGAAAGCGGCUCUCUGGCCCGUUACUGACGCUGAGGCGCGAAAGCUAGGGGAGCAAACGGGAUUAGAUACCCCGGUAGUCCUAGCCCUAAACGAUGGGUACUAAGUAGGGGCGACUCCGAUGUUGUCUCUGCUGUAGCCAAUGUGCUAAGUACCCCGCCUGGGGAGUACGGUCGCAAGGCUGAA